UAAACGCGUCGUUUUUUAUUUCAAUGGUGGAACCAUUAUUCUUCUCCACCGGCGGGAUGUAGGCUCUAAGUCUAGGGUUUCGAUUCAUCUUCUUCCUCAGACCCUGAUUUUAAUCAGUUUCACCUUCGUCUUCUUAAAGGCCUCCUUGAUUCAAUCAUACACGAUCUACAUUUAUUUCUGCUUCUCUCUUGCAAGGCGGUGGAAAUCUCAGUAUAAAAAGGAAGGACCAAGAAAAACAAAGCAACAACAAUUAACCAAAUAUGGAUAAGCACUGCAAAUGGAACAAGAAGAAACAGAGGCACUCCAGAACCGCAUGAAACUAUAUGUACCUUUCUUACGGGUUUUGAUUGUUGUAAUCUUUCAUCUUUUGAUGAUCUGUAGUGGAUCAUAUCUUUAGUUUUGGAUAGGCUUUGGUGUUAAUUGUUAAAUCGUUUGUUUCUAACAUUGUCUCUCUUCCGAGAUUUGUCCUCUUCUCUUUUUCCCGAGUUACAGUGAUUUUGCAAUUAAUCUGGUUAAUGUUUAGCGAAAAGCUUUUGUUCUAUUUGAGACCGUUAGGAUUUAUUUCUUAGAGUCACAGAAAACCACUGCUCUACUUUGUCUUCUUCGCCUGUGACCUUUUAACCUUUCAACUUCGUAGGAGUUCGUCGCGUUGGAGCAUCUCAGAAUCACAGAUCGUUGUUUGAUUAUAUCUACUGCUGUCAGGCCGCGAGUAUGUGGAGCUUGCAGUGCCAUGACACUUAGCUUCUCACUUUUUCACACUUAGUUUCAAAAAGAAAAAAAAAAGAAGAUUGUGUUUAGCGGUUCAAAUGAAGUCUUGACUUCUCGGAUGAGUUGAUAAGGAAGAUGGAGCUUAGAAGCCUCCGUAGUUACUGAGCCUGCUGUUAGUAGACGACCCUAUUGUUGGGGAAUUGUCCCGAGUGUACGCACUGCAAUGAUUUUAUAUAUGUUAGAUUUUUAUAGGAACAUGCUCAUUAGCAUGAAAAUAAUGAGAAGGGGACAAAUAUAAAUUCAAGUGUAAAUUCCGGUAGAAAAUAUAUUAUAUUAUCUCCACUGAAGAAAUAAAAUAAUAUCAUAUUGUUGGUGGAAGUUA
Molecule: long non-coding RNA, 1090 nt
Organism: Brassica napus (rape)
Lineage: Eukaryota; Viridiplantae; Streptophyta; Magnoliopsida; Brassicales; Brassicaceae
Exons: 3
Source: RefSeq, a predicted model, not a curated record